Silurus meridionalis is the source of this 733-nucleotide long non-coding RNA. RefSeq lists it as uncharacterized. The record is from RefSeq and is a predicted model, not a curated record. Lineage: Eukaryota; Metazoa; Chordata; Actinopteri; Siluriformes; Siluridae. The transcript is spliced from 3 exons.
CUCAGGAGUGAAGUUUCUCUCUGCUGUACUGGAGAAUCCUCACUGUAAACUGGAGAUACUGAGGUUGUAUAAUUGUGGAAUAUCAGAUGACGGCUGUGGUGCUCUCGCUUCAGCUCUGAGAUCAAACCCCUCACACCUUAGAGAACUGGAUCUGACUCUGAAUAAAGUAGGAGACUCAGGAGUGAAGUGUCUCUCUGAUCUGAAGGAUGAUAAACGUUACAAACUACAGACACUGAAAGUUGGUUGGUGAUGAAAAAUUGUGUGUGAAGAUUCCAGUGUUCCUGCAUUUCCGUGUCUGCAAACCGAGAACACGUUUAUCUACAGGAUCUGAGGAGAAAAAGCCCAGAGCAGAAGAAGUCCAAAUCACAUGUAUUACUUUGUGCUUUAGUUAGUAUUUAAUAGAGUUUCUAUCUUUAUGCUACAGGAUCAGACCCAAUCCAUUCUUUAUUUUCUCUCUGAUCUGAUCUCCAUUUCUUACUAGUAUCACGUUAUCAACGCAGUAUGGGAUCAGUGCCAUCUUUAGUGCACACACUCUCUCUCUCUCUCUCUCUCUCUCUUUCACUUACAUACACACACACACACACACACACACACACACACACACACACACACACACACCUGGAUGUAUAUAAUAUGUAUAUGAUGUAUUACAUAACAUUUCCUACAAAAACACCCAUAAAACUAUAAUCAUUUUUUAUAAAGUAUAUAAGAAAAAUAAAUGGAGUUUUAUUUA